Molecule: ribosomal RNA, 485 nt
Filed under: uncultured bacterium
Lineage: Bacteria
Description: bacterial SSU rRNA
Rfam family: Bacterial small subunit ribosomal RNA
Source: RNAcentral
GAUCAUGGCUCAGAUUGAACGCUGGCGGCAGGCCUAACACAUGCAAGUCGAACGGUAGCACAGGAGAGCUUGCUCUCUGGGUGACGAGUGGCGGACGGGUGAGUAACACGUGAGUAACCUGCCCCGAACUCUGGGAUAACUGCUGGAAACGGUAGCUAAUACCGGAUAUGACCAAUGAAGGCAUCUUCUGUUGGUGGAAAGAAUUUCGGUUCGGGAUGGACUCGCGGCCUAUCAGCUUGUUGGUGAGGUAACGGCUCACCAAGGCGACGACGGGUAGCCGGCCUGAGAGGGUGAUCGGCCACACUGGGACUGAGACACGGCCCAGACUCCUACGGGAGGCAGCAGUGGGGAAUAUUGCACAAUGGGCGCAAGCCUGAUGCAGCAACGCCGCGUGAGGGACGACGGCCUUCGGGUUGUAAACCUCUUUUAGUAGGGAAGAAGCGAAAGUGACGGUACCUGCAGAAAAAGCACCGGCUAACUACGUG